Molecule: ribosomal RNA, 478 nt
Filed under: Blastocystis sp.
Lineage: Eukaryota; Bigyra; Opalinata; Blastocystidae
Description: SSU rRNA
Rfam family: Eukaryotic small subunit ribosomal RNA
Source: RNAcentral
AUCCUGCCAGUAGUCAUACGCUCGUCUCAAAGAUUAAGCCAUGCAUGUGUAAGUAUAAAUAAUUUUACUUUGAAACUGCGAAUGGCUCAUUAUAUCAGUUAUAGUUUAUUAGAAAUAUUUUACUACUUGGAUAACCGUAGUAAUUCUAGGGCUAAUACAUGAGUAAAACCUCAACUUCGGAAGAGGUGUGUUUAUUAGUAUGAAAACCAUAUAUCUUCGGAUAUAAUAGUGAGUAAUAAUAACCUUUCAUAUCGUAUGUCGUAAGAUAACGAUAGUUCUUUCAAGUUUCUGCCCUAUCAGCUUUCGAUGGUAGUAUAUGGGACUACCAUGGCAGUAACGGGUAACGAAGAAUUUGGGUUCGAUUUCGGAGAGGGAGCCUGAGAGAUGGCUACCACAUCCAAGGAAGGCAGCAGGCGCGUAAAUUACCCAAUCCUGACAUAGGGAGGUAGUGACAAUAAAUCACAAUGCGGAACUUUUA